GCGUGGUAGCCAAGUGGUAAGGCAAUGGUCUGCAACACCGUGAUCACCGGUUCAAAUCCGGUCCGCG
Molecule: transfer RNA, 67 nt
Filed under: bovine gut metagenome
Rfam family: tRNA
About the family: Transfer RNA (tRNA) molecules are approximately 80 nucleotides in length. Their secondary structure includes four short double-helical elements and three loops (D, anti-codon, and T loops).
Source: RNAcentral